AGAGUUUGAUCCUGGCUCAGGAUGAACGCUAGCGGCAGGCCUAAUACAUGCAAGUCGAGGGGCAGCACAGGUAGCAAUACUGGGUGGCGACCGGCAAACGGGUGCGGAACACGUACGCAACCUUCCUUUAAGAGAUGAAUAGCCCGGAGAAAUCCGGAUUAAUGCAUCGUAAGAUUGUGGGAUGGCAUCAUCCAGCAAUUAAAGAUUUAUUUCGCUUAAAGAUGGGCGUGCGCCUGAUUAGGUAGUUGGUGAGGUAACGGCUCACCAAGCCGACGAUCAGUAACUGGCGUGAGAGCGCGACCAGUCACACGGGCACUGAGACACGGGCCCGACUCCUACGGGAGGCAGCAGUAAGGAAUAUUGGUCAAUGGACGCAAGUCUGAACCAGCCAUGCCGCGUGAAGGAUGAAAGCCCUCUGGGUUGUAAACUUCUUUUAUCUGGGAAGAAACCACCUUUAUCUAAGGGUGUUGACGGUACCAGAGGAAUAAGCACCGGCUAACUCCGUGCCAGCAGCCGCGGUAAUACGGAGGGUGCAAGCGUUAUCCGGAUUCACUGGGUUUAAAGGGUGCGUAGGCGGAUUAGUAAGUCCGUGGUGAAAUCUCCAAGCUUAACUUGGAAACUGCCAUGGAUACUAUUAGUCUUGAAUGUUGUGGAGGUUAGCGGAAUAUGUCAUGUAGCGGUGAAAUGCAUAGAUAUGACAUAGAACACCAAUUGCGAAGGCAGCUGGCUACACAAAUAUUGACGCUGAGGCACGAAAGCGUGGGGAUCAAACAGGAUUAGAUACCCUGGUAGUCCACGCCCUAAACGAUGAUUACUCGACAUUUGCGAUACACAGCAAGUGUCUGAGCGAAAGCAUUAAGUAAUCCACCUGGGAAGUACGACCGCAAGGUUGAAACUCAAAGGAAUUGACGG
Molecule: ribosomal RNA, 912 nt
Filed under: Chitinophaga sp. H3R10_pA
Lineage: Bacteria; Pseudomonadati; Bacteroidota; Chitinophagia; Chitinophagales; Chitinophagaceae
Description: bacterial SSU rRNA
Rfam family: Bacterial small subunit ribosomal RNA
Source: RNAcentral